GACAGAGGGUGCAAACGUUGUUCGGAAUUACUGGGCGUAAAGCGCGUGUAGGCGGUCUCGCAAGUCGGAUGUGAAAGCCCAGGGCUCAACCCCGGGCGUGCAGUGGAUACGGGCUGGCUGGAGGCAGGCAGGGGAGAACGGAAUUCCUGGUGUAGCGGUGAAAUGCGCAGAUAUCAGGAGGAACACCGGUGGCGAAGGCGGUUCUCUGGGCCUGUACUGACGCUGAGGAGCGAAAGCGUGGGGAGCGAACAGG
Molecule: ribosomal RNA, 253 nt
Filed under: uncultured bacterium
Lineage: Bacteria
Description: partial 16S ribosomal RNA
Rfam family: Bacterial small subunit ribosomal RNA
Source: RNAcentral